This 376-nucleotide long non-coding RNA is filed under the name Panax ginseng (ginseng). Its description in RNAcentral is "long non-coding RNA (PGIN_LNC019284)". The record is from RNAcentral. Lineage: Eukaryota; Viridiplantae; Streptophyta; Magnoliopsida; Apiales; Araliaceae.
AAGAUGUAUAUUGAUUGUUAUUACAGGGAUAAAAUAUUGAUGCUGGACUUUUAUACCUUAGAAGACAGUAGAAUUCUUUCUCUACGUGACUCUUCUAAUGGAUUGUUGUUUCCGCUGCAUUUGUUGAUCUAAAACUUGUUGUCUAUUGUAUUCUAUUAGAUUUUUCCCUGUUGAAGACUAACGAUAAUUUGUUGUAUAUUAUCUUAGUCAUAAUAUUCUUUACUGGGCUAGUUGAGCUCACCCUUUUCCUUUUUGUUCCAUUUUUCUUCUCAGGAGGUGAGAACAUAGCAAGAUCGAGUCGGGGUAUGGAGUGAUGGUUCUAGGAAGAUGUUUUAGCUGUCCUCACUAUUUCUGUAAAAUAGUGUAUGAAUAAUUA